GACGAACGCUGGCGGCGUGCUUAACACAUGCAAGUCGAACGGAAAGGCCCUUCGGGGUACUCGAGUGGCGAACGGGUGAGUAACACGUGGGUGAUCUGCCCUGCACUUUGGGAUAAGCCUGGGAAACUGGGUCUAAUACCGAAUAGGACCACGCGCUUCAUGGUGUGUGGUGGAAAGCUUUUGCGGUGUGGGAUGGGCCCGCGGCCUAUCAGCUUGUUGGUGGGGUAAUGGCCUACCAAGGCGACGACGGGUAGCCGGCCUGAGAGGGUGACCGGCCACACUGGGACUGAGAUACGGCCCAGACUCCUACGGGAGGCAGCAGUGGGGAAUAUUGCACAAUGGGCGCAAGCCUGAUGCAGCGACGCCGCGUGAGGGAUGACGGCCUUCGGGUUGUAAACCUCUUUCAAUAGGGACGAAGCGCAAGUGACGGUACCUAUAGAAGAAGCACCGGCCAACUACGUGCCAGCAGCCGCGGUAAUACGUAGGGUGCGAGCGUUGUCCGGAAUUACUGGGCGUAAAGAGCUCGUAGGUGGUUUGUCGCGUUGUUCGUGAAAACUCACAGCUUAACUGUGGGCGUGCGGGCGAUACGGGCAGACUAGAGUACUGCAGGGGAGACUGGAAUUCCUGGUGUAGCGGUGGAAUGCGCAGAUAUCAGGAGGAACACCGGUGGCGAAGGCGGGUCUCUGGGCAGUAACUGACGCUGAGGAGCGAAAGCGUGGGGAGCGAACAGGAUUAGAUACCCUGGUAGUCCACGCCGUAAACGGUGGGUACUAGGUGUGGGUUCCUUCCUUGGGAUCCGUGCCGUAGCUAACGCAUUAAGUACCCCGCCUGGGGAGUACGGCCGCAAGGCUAAAACUCAAAGGAAUUGACGGGGGCCCGCACAAGCGGCGGAGCAUGUGGAUUAAUUCGAUGCAACGCGAAGAACCUUACCUGGGUUUGACAUGCACAGGACGCCGGCAGAGAUGUCGGUUCCCUUGUGGCCUGUGUGCAGGUGGUGCAUGGCUGUCGUCAGCUCGUGUCGUGAGAUGUUGGGUUAAGUCUCGCAACGAGCGCAACCCUUGUCCUAUGUUGCCAGCGGGUUAUGCCGGGGACUCGUAGGAGACUGCCGGGGUCAACUCGGAGGAAGGUGGGGAUGACGUCAAGUCAUCAUGCCCCUUAUGUCCAGGGCUUCACACAUGCUACAAUGGCCGGUACAAAGGGCUGCGAUGCCGUGAGGUGGAGCGAAUCCUUUCAAAGCCGGUCUCAGUUCGGAUCGGGGUCUGCAACUCGACCCCGUGAAGUCGGAGUCGCUAGUAAUCGCAGAUCAGCAACGCUGCGGUGAAUACGUUCCCGGGCCU
RNAcentral lists this ribosomal RNA (1337 nucleotides) under uncultured bacterium. RNAcentral's name for it is "bacterial SSU rRNA". It matches the Rfam family "Bacterial small subunit ribosomal RNA", at positions 28 to 1381 of the family's 1533-position model. The record is from RNAcentral.